RNAcentral lists this ribosomal RNA (330 nucleotides) under Triticum aestivum (bread wheat). RNAcentral describes it as "partial small subunit ribosomal RNA". The record is from RNAcentral. Lineage: Eukaryota; Viridiplantae; Streptophyta; Magnoliopsida; Poales; Poaceae.
AUGGACAUGGAUGUGUCAUUUCGUUCAGCAAUCGUCAAUGGAGAUACUCUCAAGAUGUUUGUUGGGCAAAGAGUGCGCACAGUACUUAAGGUCCAACACACUCAAGGUGGAAUUCUUGUUGGGCAGUCGACUGAUGGACAUCAGUUGACCAUCAGAGGUGCUUCGGAAGGCCGUGAAUCACAUUAUCUAGAGGUUGUUGGGAUUGCUGACAACGACCAGUCCAUCAGUGCUGAGAGUUGCAAAGAUUUUGGUGACGACUUUGAUGCUGAUGCGUUCAAUGGGCUGUGCAAGCUUGUGGUGAACGUCAAGGUGAAGGAAGUUUUCCUGUAG